GUUCUCGCAUUGGCAGCACAUAUACUAAAGUUGGAACGAUACAGGGAAGAUUAGCAUGGCCCCUAGCAAGGAUGACCCAAAUUAAAGGUUUAAAAAAAUUUA
This 102-nucleotide small nuclear RNA is filed under the name Microcebus murinus (gray mouse lemur). The record is from RNAcentral. Lineage: Eukaryota; Metazoa; Chordata; Mammalia; Primates; Cheirogaleidae.